GAGUUUUGGUUCAUUAGUGUUCAGAAUGAAUGUAUGAGCGAAAAGCAUAAACUACAAACAAAACCAACACGAUUACCCGAAUUCGCUAGACAUCUUCGGAGAAGAGUAGAGAACCGGGUGAGUGGCUCGUGAGUAAUCACCCCUCGAGUGAGGAAUAAUUACCGCGAAAGCGGGACUAAUGCCGCAUAAUACUCUGGGGCAUAAGCCAUUAGAGUCAAAGCUUUCCGAGCAAUCGGAUGGCGACUUGAGGACGAGCUCGCGGCCUAUUAGCUAGUUGGUGGGGUAAUGGCCUACCAAGGUUAUGAUGGGUAGCCGGCUUGAGAAGGGUGUAUGGCCACAACUGGGACUGAGACACGGCCCAGACUCCUCCGGGAGGCAGC
RNAcentral lists this ribosomal RNA (380 nucleotides) under uncultured bacterium. Its description in RNAcentral is "bacterial SSU rRNA". The stretch from base 80 to 378 matches the Rfam family "Bacterial small subunit ribosomal RNA", at positions 59 to 350 of the family's 1533-position model. The record is from RNAcentral.